This 72-nucleotide transfer RNA is filed under the name Nitrospinota bacterium. RNAcentral's name for it is "tRNA-Glu". It matches the Rfam family "tRNA". Rfam says of the family: Transfer RNA (tRNA) molecules are approximately 80 nucleotides in length. Their secondary structure includes four short double-helical elements and three loops (D, anti-codon, and T loops). RNAcentral also lists the same sequence under 1 other name. The record is from RNAcentral. Lineage: Bacteria; Pseudomonadati; Nitrospinota.
GGCCCCAUCGUCUAGCGGUUAGGACGCCGCCCUCUCACGGCGGAAACAGGGGUUCGAUUCCCCUUGGGGCUA